GGGCCAUAGCUCAGUGGUAAAGAAUCUGCUUUGCAUGCAGAAAGUCCCAGGUUCAGUCCCUGGCAUCUCCG
Non-coding RNA from Podarcis lilfordi (Lilford's wall lizard), 71 nucleotides. The record is from the annotation of a GenBank genome assembly. Lineage: Eukaryota; Metazoa; Chordata; Lepidosauria; Squamata; Lacertidae.